Molecule: ribosomal RNA, 445 nt
Filed under: Electra pilosa
Lineage: Eukaryota; Metazoa; Bryozoa; Gymnolaemata; Cheilostomatida; Electridae
Description: partial 16S ribosomal RNA
Rfam family: Archaeal large subunit ribosomal RNA
Source: RNAcentral
UCUUAUAAACGGCUGUUAUAACAUUAAAGUAGCGNAAUAAUUUGUUCCUUCAUUGGGGACUUGUAUGAAAGGCAGAGNGGAAAUUUACUGUUUCUUUCGAAUUCUAAAAAAUUUCUAUUUAAGUGAAAAAGCUUAAAUUCACUAAAAGGACGAGAAGACCCUAUAGAAUUUAAUAGCAUAGGUUUUUUAUAAAUUUAUCUAUUUUGUUGGGGCAACAGGGGAGAAAAAACUNCANGUCUAUACAAUUUAAUAAUCAUAAAUAAAAUUUAUUGAUCCUAAAAUAGAACAAAGAAAAAUUACCUUAGGGAUAACAGCGUANUAUCUCCCAGAGAGACCUAAUUGAAGGGAGAGUUUGCGACCUCGAUGUUGGACUAAGAUAGCUUUCAAAUGCAGCAGUUUGAAAUAGUAAGCCUGUCCGGCUUUUAAAAUCUUACGUGAUCUGAGU